This 403-nucleotide ribosomal RNA is filed under the name bacterium. RNAcentral's name for it is "partial 16S ribosomal RNA". It matches the Rfam family "Bacterial small subunit ribosomal RNA", at positions 355 to 776 of the family's 1533-position model. RNAcentral also lists the same sequence under 4 other names. The record is from RNAcentral.
UGGGGAAUAUUGCACAAUGGAGGGAACUCUGAUGCAGCGACGCCGCGUGAACGAAGAAGGCUUUCGAGUCGUAAAGUUCUUUUAUAUGGGAAGAUAAUGACGGUACCAUAAGAAAAAGCCCCGGCUAACUACGUGCCAGCAGCCGCGGUAAUACGUAGGGGGCUAGCGUUGUCCGGAAUCACUGGGCGUAAAGGGUUCGCAGGCGGAAAUGCAAGUCAGAUGUAAAAGGCAGUAGCUUAACUACUGUAAGCAUUUGAAACUGCAUAUCUUGAGAAGAGUAGAGGUAAGUGGAAUUUUUAGUGUAGCGGUGAAAUGCGUAGAUAUUAAAAAGAAUACCGGUGGCGAAGGCGACUUACUGGGCUCAUUCUGACGCUGAGGAACGAAAGCGUGGGUAGCAAACAGG